UUCUGCUUUGAUUCCCCUUCUCGGCCCCCUUCCCAAAGACAAGAAGGUAAUGGAAAAGCACUUACCUUUACCCGGCCAUCCGUGUCACCCCCGUGGGAACUCAGAAUGGCCCCAAAACCAAGCUCCAUUUCUAUAUACGCAUAUAUAUAUAUAUAUACACACAUACACAUAUAUAUAUACAUAUAUACACACACACCAAUCCGGGAUUUGUUAGAAAGAAAAACAAAACCAAAAGCCACAAACCACGCUCUAUGAGUUUCACCGAGAACAUGGCAACAUUAGCAGAAAAUACUCGGGGCUUUCGACGUGAAAUUUACUAGUUUAAAACUUUUGAAGGUUAUUUAUGUGGAUGGCCCGAAGCAAAAGCCCUGAGUGGCUCUCAGGGAGCACGUGAUGUCAUUAAACUAAGUUUUAUGGUUUGGGGGAGCUGACAAACCCACAAUAUAUUUACAUCAUAUAUAAUCUUAACUGUCCACCACCGCAGCUGCUUAGAGCUGUUUAACGCCGGGACAGCGGGACGGCCGCUUAGUGCGGAGCUCGGCGCUGCGCAGCGCGGACCCCCGACGACCCCCCAGAAGCAGCAGCCACCGCAAACACAACUCUCAGCCAAGAGCACAAAGAGCCCCGACCAUUUCGCGGUGACUGAUUUAUGGCGUUUUACAACCCCAUAAAAAGCUGUAACAACCAGCCAAAAGCCUUCGACACCGCUGGCACAUUUAGUCUAAUAAAUAAAACAUAAACAGUUAACUUUA
Non-coding RNA from Coturnix japonica (Japanese quail), 752 nucleotides. Lineage: Eukaryota; Metazoa; Chordata; Aves; Galliformes; Phasianidae. The record is from RefSeq and is a predicted model, not a curated record.